This 205-nucleotide long non-coding RNA is filed under the name Panax ginseng (ginseng). RNAcentral's name for it is "long non-coding RNA (PGIN_LNC008721)". The record is from RNAcentral. Lineage: Eukaryota; Viridiplantae; Streptophyta; Magnoliopsida; Apiales; Araliaceae.
AGAAGAAAAGGUCAAAAGAGAUAUCCAUGCAAAUCACUUCUAAAAGGUUUUUCAUCUGGAAAACACCUCAGGGACAAACCUGACCCUCAGUUCACUCAAAGAGGUUGGCCCUUCCUGAGCUACCUUAACCCAGAAGGAAUGCUUAGUAAAGUUCAUCUCCAGGACCAAAACAGUCGACGAUUGUAGAAUAAAGUUUGAAGAAAAC